This 63-nucleotide transfer RNA is filed under the name Anaplecta sp. 4 ZQW-2020. Its description in RNAcentral is "tRNA-Ala". It matches the Rfam family "tRNA". Rfam says of the family: Transfer RNA (tRNA) molecules are approximately 80 nucleotides in length. Their secondary structure includes four short double-helical elements and three loops (D, anti-codon, and T loops). The record is from RNAcentral. Lineage: Eukaryota; Metazoa; Arthropoda; Insecta; Blattodea; Anaplectidae.
AGGGUAAUAGUUAAAUAUAACAUUUAAUUUGCAUUUAAAAAGUACUGACUACCAGUUUACCUU